RNAcentral lists this ribosomal RNA (503 nucleotides) under uncultured bacterium. RNAcentral describes it as "partial 16S ribosomal RNA". It matches the Rfam family "Bacterial small subunit ribosomal RNA", at positions 30 to 523 of the family's 1533-position model. The record is from RNAcentral.
AUUGAACGCUGGCGGCAGGCUUAACACAUGCAAGUCGAGCGGGGUGAUGGUGCUUGCACUAUCACUUAGCGGCGGACGGGUGAGUAAUGCUUAGGAAUCUGCCUAUUAGUGGGGGACAACAUCUCGAAAGGGAUGCUAAUACCGCAUACGUCCUACGGGAGAAAGCAGGGGAUCACUUGUGACCUUGCGCUAAUAGAUGAGCCUAAGUCGGAUUAGCUAGUUGGUGGGGUAAAGGCCUACCAAGGCGACGAUCUGUAGCGGGUCUGAGAGGAUGAUCCGCCACACUGGGACUGAGACACGGCCCAGACUCCUACGGGAGGCAGCAGUGGGGAAUAUUGGUCAAUGGGGGGAACCCUGAUCCAGCCAUGCCGCGUGUGUGAAGAGGGCCUUAUGGUUGUAAAGCACUUUAAGCGAGGAGGAGGCUCUUUUGGUUAACACCCAAGAUGAGUGGACGUUACUCGCAGAAUAAGCACCGGCUAACUCUGUGCCAGCAGCCGCCGUAA